AAGGGCCAUUCGACUCUUUAUUGCAUGAUUGAAUAUAUGUUAACUAGUAUAGGAUGAGCAGGUUUUGGGUUAACUAGGUAACUAAAUCCUGGCUUGAGCAUGACCAAAUUGACUCAAGUUGGGUUUGAGCUUUUGCCAAACUCAAGCCCAAGCUACUAUUAGGUUUGUCAUUGUUUCUUUGAUUUAUUUAUGUUGCAGCUAUGGCCUUCCUGCUGAAUUUACAUAAACAAGGUCUUAAAGAUAAACGUUAUAAAUUUCAUUUGGUGAAUAUUACAUUAUAGUAGAGAAAAUAGGGUUUUAG
This 301-nucleotide unclassified non-coding RNA is filed under the name Hevea brasiliensis (rubber tree). Lineage: Eukaryota; Viridiplantae; Streptophyta; Magnoliopsida; Malpighiales; Euphorbiaceae. The record is from RNAcentral.